UAGGGAAUCUUCCGCAAUGGGCGAAAGCCUGACGGAGCAACGCCGCGUGAGUGAUGAAGGUCUUCGGAUCGUAAAACUCUGUUAUUAGGGAAGAACAAAUGUGUAAGUAACUAUGCACGUUUUGACGGUACCUAAUCAGAAAGCCACGGCUAACUACGUGCCAGCAGCCGCGGUAAUACGUAGGUGGCAAGCGUUAUCCGGAAUUAUUGGGCGUAAAGCGCGCGUAGGCGGUUUUUUAAGUCUGAUGUGAAAGCCCACGGCUCAACCGUGGAGGGUCAUUGGAAACUGGAAAACUUGAGUGCAGAAGAGGAAAGUGGAAUUCCAUGUGUAGCAGUGAAAUGCGCAGAGAUAUGGAGGAACACCAGCGGCGAAGGCGACUUUCUGGUCUGUAACUGACGCUGAUGUGCGAAAGCGUGGGGAUCAAACAGG
This 429-nucleotide ribosomal RNA is filed under the name Actinomycetes bacterium. RNAcentral's name for it is "Actinobacteria bacterium partial 16S ribosomal RNA". It matches the Rfam family "Bacterial small subunit ribosomal RNA", at positions 355 to 776 of the family's 1533-position model. Lineage: Bacteria; Bacillati; Actinomycetota; Actinomycetes. The record is from RNAcentral.